Molecule: transfer RNA, 71 nt
Filed under: Podarcis lilfordi (Lilford's wall lizard)
Lineage: Eukaryota; Metazoa; Chordata; Lepidosauria; Squamata; Lacertidae
Description: tRNA.Lys
Rfam family: tRNA (bases 3-60)
About the family: Transfer RNA (tRNA) molecules are approximately 80 nucleotides in length.
Source: RNAcentral
UAUAGCUCAGUCGGUAGAGCAUGAGGCUCUUAAUCUCAGGGCCGUGGGUUUGAGCCCCACAUUGGGCAAAA